GGACUACUGGGGUAUCUAAUCCUGUUUGCUCCCCACGCCUUCGCGCCUCAGCGUCAGUCUCGGUCCAGAGCGCCGCCUUCGCCACCGGUGUUCUUCCCAAUAUCUACGAAUUUCACCUCUACACUGGGAAUUCCACGCUCCUCUCCCGAACUCCAGCACCACAGUCUCGAGCGCAAUUCCCAGGUUGAGCCCGGGGCUUUCACACUCGACUUGCGGCGCCGCCUACGCGCCCUUUACGCCCAGUAAAUCCGAACAACGCUCGCCCCCUUCGUAUUACCGCGGCGGCUGGCAC
RNAcentral lists this ribosomal RNA (292 nucleotides) under uncultured Alphaproteobacteria bacterium. Its description in RNAcentral is "partial 16S ribosomal RNA". The record is from RNAcentral. Lineage: Bacteria; Pseudomonadati; Pseudomonadota; Alphaproteobacteria.